UUAAAUCUUUGUUGUAGCAUCUAUCAAAUAGUAAAUGAUCAGCAUGGCCUCUGCAUAAGGAUAAUAAGCACAUCCAUGAUAUAUUCCAUUUUUUG
Molecule: small nuclear RNA, 95 nt
Filed under: Erinaceus europaeus (western European hedgehog)
Lineage: Eukaryota; Metazoa; Chordata; Mammalia; Eulipotyphla; Erinaceidae
Source: RNAcentral